AUUGAACGCUGGCGGCAUGCCUUACACAUGCAAGUCGAACGGCAGCACGGGUGCUUGUACCUGUUGGCGGGUGGCGGAGGGGGGAGUAAUACAUCGGCACAGGUACUGUCGUGGGGGAGGGCGCGGCGAAAGGCGGAUUAAUACCGCAUACGAUUUCCGGAUGAAAGCGGGGGCCCGUGGGGCCUCGCCCUUUAGGGUUGGACGAUGCCUGAUUAGCUAGUUGGGGGGGUAAGGGCCUAGCAAGGCGACGAUCAGUAGCUGGUCUGAGAGGACGACCAGCCACACUGGAACUGAGACACGGCCCAGACUCCUACGGGAGGCAGCAGUGGGGAAUUUUGGACAAUGGGCGAAAGCCUGAUCCAGCAAUGCCGCGUGUGUGAAGAAGGCCUUCGGGUUGUAAAGCACUUUUGUCCGGAAAGAAAUCCAGCGCGCUAAUACGGUAGGGGGAUGACGGUACCGGAAGAAUAAGCACCGGCUAACUACGUG
Molecule: ribosomal RNA, 486 nt
Filed under: uncultured bacterium
Lineage: Bacteria
Description: partial 16S ribosomal RNA
Rfam family: Bacterial small subunit ribosomal RNA
Source: RNAcentral